UGGGGUUAGACUCAGUGGCAGAGCACUCGCCUAGGAUGUGCGAGGCCCUGGGUUCAAUCCUCAGCACCACAU
RNAcentral lists this transfer RNA (72 nucleotides) under Marmota monax (woodchuck). Its description in RNAcentral is "tRNA.Pro". The record is from RNAcentral. Lineage: Eukaryota; Metazoa; Chordata; Mammalia; Rodentia; Sciuridae.